RNAcentral lists this ribosomal RNA (1305 nucleotides) under Chloroflexota bacterium. RNAcentral's name for it is "bacterial LSU rRNA". It matches the Rfam family "Bacterial large subunit ribosomal RNA", at positions 1 to 1170 of the family's 2925-position model. The record is from RNAcentral. Lineage: Bacteria; Bacillati; Chloroflexota.
UGUUAAGUUACUAAGGGCGUACGGUGGAUGCCUUGGCGCCAGAAGCCGAUGAAGGGCGUGGUACACUGCGAUAAGCCUCGAGGAGUCGUGUGCAGACGUUAUAUCCGAGGAUACCCGAAUGGGGAAACCCGCUUGGGCAAUACCCAAGCACCACCCGCUGAAUAUAUAGGCGGGUCGGAGGGAACGGGGGGAACUGAAACAUCUUAGUACCCCCAGGAAAAGAGAAUAUUCCCUGAGUAGUGGCGAGCGAAAAGGGAACAGCCCAAACCUGUGUCACUCAACGGUGUGCAGACUUAUGUGACAUUGGUGUUGUAGGGCCUGGAUGGGGUGCUGCAUAAACCCCAAGGAGUUACAAAUCUGGCUGUUAGUCGAAUCUUGCAGGAAAGGGGAACCAUAGAGGGUAACAGUCCCGUAGACGAAAACAGACCAGACUUCUGCCAGUGACCCUGAGUACCACGGGACACGAGAAAUCCUGUGGGAAGCUGGGAGGACCACCUCCCAAGGCUAAAUACUUACUGGCGACCGAUAGCGUACAAGUACCGUGAGGGAAAGGUGAAAAGAUCCCCGGCGAGGGAAGUGAAAUAGAACCUGAAACCGUAUGCCUACAAGCGGUCGGAGCACUAUGGCGUCUCUUGAUACCGAAUGGACUGGGGCUUCCUCCUUCGGGAGGUCAAGCGUGAGGUCCAGAGGUCAACCCCCUUCGGGGGUGCUGGGAGCGCAAGGUGUGACGGCGUGCCUUUUGGAGAAUGAGCCGGUGAGUUACUUCUCUGUUGCUAGGUUAAGGCAGUUACAGCCGGAGCCGUAGCGAAAGCGAGUCUGAUAAGGGCGCAUUAGUGGCAGGGAGUAGACACGAAACCAGGUGAGCUACCCAUGGUCAGGCUGAAGCGAGGCUAACCCCUCGUGGAGGGCCGAACCUUUCGCAGUUGCAAAUGCGUGGGAUGAACUGUGGGUAGUGGUGAUAUGCCUAACGAACCUGGAGAUAGCUUGUUCUCCCCGAAAUAGCUUUAGGGCUAGCCUCACGCGUUUAGUACCGGAGGUAGAGCACUGGAUGGGCUAGGGGGCUAAUAGCUUACCAAACUCAACCAAACUCCGAAUGCCGGUACUCUGGAGCGUGGGAGUCGGACUAUGGGAGAUGAGUUUCAUAGUCGAGAGGGAAAGAGCCCAGACCGACGGCUAAGGUCCCCAAAUUCAAGCUAAGUGGGAAACGAAGUGGGAUUGCUCAGACAGCCAGGAGGUUGGCCUAGAAGCAGCCAUCCUUUAAAGAGUGCGUAACAGCUCACUGGUCGAGCGGUCCUGCGCGGAAAA